This 222-nucleotide long non-coding RNA is filed under the name Homo sapiens (human). Its description in RNAcentral is "HSALNT0318786". Lineage: Eukaryota; Metazoa; Chordata; Mammalia; Primates; Hominidae. The record is from RNAcentral.
GCAGUGGCUCACGCCUGUAAUCCCAGCACUUUGGGAGGCCAAGAUGGGCAGAUCACAAGGUCAGGAGUUUGAGACCAGCCUGGCCAAUACGGUGAAACUCCGUCCCUACUAAAAAAUACAAAAAACCAGCUGGGCGUGGUGGCAAGUGCCUGUAGUCCCAGCUACUCAGGAGGCUGAGGCAGGAGAAUUGCUAGAACCCGGGAGGUGGAGGUUGCAGUGAGC